Molecule: ribosomal RNA, 460 nt
Filed under: uncultured bacterium
Lineage: Bacteria
Description: partial 16S ribosomal RNA
Rfam family: Bacterial small subunit ribosomal RNA
Source: RNAcentral
CCUACGGGAGGCAGCAGUGAGGAAUAUUGGUCAAUGGGCGGAAGCCUGAACCAGCCAAGUAGCGUGCAGGAUGAAGGCCCUACGGGUUGUAAACUGCUUGUAUACGGGAAUAACGCGCCUUACGUGUAGGGCUUUGCAUGUACCGGAUGAAUAAGGACCGGCUAAUUCCGUGCCAGCCGCCGCGGUAAGACGGAAGGUCCGGGCGGUAUCCGGAUUUAUUGGGUGUAAAGGGCGCGUAGGCCACAGGUCAAGCGUGCUGUGAAAUGUCCGGGCUCAACCCGGGCCUUGCAGCGCGAACUGGCGUGCUUGAGUCCGCGGAAAGCAGGCGGAAUUCGUCGUGUAGCGGUGAAAUGCUUAGAUAUGACGAAGAACCCCGAUUGCGAAGCCAGCUUGCUGCAGCGGAACUGACGCUGAUGCUCGAAAGCGCGGGUAUCGAACAGGAUUAGAUACCCGGGUAGUC